GUGGCCGAUGAUAGGGAGAGACGGGGGACUGGGGGGUAAGUUUGUACGGCGGGUGCGGAGGUUGAAAGCGAAGAGGAGAGAGAUAAGGGAGAGAAAUAGGUAAAGGAGAGAGUAAAUUUGCAUGGCGUUUUUGUUGAAAAAAGUAAUAUUUAAAUUUGGAGUUGGGGAGUGAAGAUGAAGAGGUGGCUACUAGGGGUGAGGUAUUUAUAGAGAUUGAAGCCACCAGAAUGACCUUGGCAGUGUGCUGUAAUAACAUACAUUAUGAAGUCCAUUUUAUGUACGAGUUUCAAUUGAAAUCCAAAAUUUCUAUGCAUGUAAAUCCAUCUUGAGUAGAGACAAAACUAUAUAUUAAUCUUUUUCCACGUUGACAAAGUAUCUGCUGAAGAUACUCAACCCCUUUUUGGCUUCUCUCUCUUCUUUCCUUUUAUCUAUUAUAAUCAUCAUAAUCGAAGGAAAAUGCAUGACUGACAUGUGUAGAGUUUAAUGAUCCUUCAAUUGCCAUAUGUAUCAACAGUUAUGAGAUUUUCAAUUUUAAUAAUACUCUCUAGUUCUUCCUAUUCUUAAAAGAGACUACGAUUGCUUUUGUGGUUGAAAAUUAGACUCAUCAUGUCUCACAUAUAUUCUACUAAAAAUGUGAUUAUUUUUAAAUAUUUAAAGAAUUUACAUAAUAAUCAUGACAUAUUGUAGUGCAUCAAUGCUUUUUUAUUGGUACAUAAUUUCAAAGUUUCAAAUUUCUUGUUUUUACUUUCUUUUUUUUUUUAACGAAUAACAAAUUUGACCUGAAAUUAAAAUUUUAAUCAAUGUUUUCUAAUAAGACGUGUCAACUCUAGCUUAUAUCAAAUAAUUGAAAGAUGUAUAUAUUAUGGACUAAAAUAUUAGAGAUUUAAAUCUUUUCACAUUACUGUUUUCAAAAACCGCAUCAACAAAAUGUAUUCAUAAAGUGCAACUAAAUAUUGUGUUCUGAAAAUUCCCACAACAAAUUUAUAGAAGUAUUACAACAAGAUUGGAAUCAAAUAAUAAAAUAUAUAAUUUCUUUGAUCACAUCUAAAUUAUAUGGAAUGAAUAUAGUUAUUAGACUCUUACUAGUAUCAAUUUAAAUUUUAAACUUACAUUCUACUUAAAUACAUUUGAGAAAGUUGAAAGUCUAAAUUGAUAUAAUAAUGAGUUUAGGGUUUAAAUUGGUAUUGAUAUAUAAUUGCCAUAAAUUUUAUAAAUCUUUGAAUUGAUUAGACCUAAACUUCUCAGUUGGACAACAAAUAGAGAACUGUUCAGUACCGAUUUAAACUUUAUAAGAUAGACGAUGUGAUUUGUUAGGUAUUGUUAUAAUCCAAAUAUUUAAAACUGAAAAGUAAGUUUGCCCAAGCUUCCCAUGUUAAUUAGAGUCUAAUGGGAGUAAACUUACCUGACUUAUAAAUAUUAUUUAAAAAUGUUUACCCAUUAGCAUGAUUUUAAAAUUUUAUAUGUAUUAUAUUAUUUUAGAUUAAUAAUUUUUUUAUUAUUCGUAAGUGUUUAUUGUUUCAUUCUAAAAUUUAAAUAAUUUACACUUUAAACACGUGUUAUUAUAAUCAAAACUAAAAUAGUUUACAUUUCAAACACAUAAUAUUAUAACUAAAAUUAAAAUAAUUUACUAUUCAAAUACAUAUUAUUAUAAUAAAAACUAAUAAUAUAUUAUUGGAUCGUUAUAAUGGUUACAAUACUCUAUAAUAACUUAGGAACAUAAUAACCAACUUAUAUAUAUUGAUAUAGAUUCAUAUGAUUAGGUAUUUAGGAAUUGUUAAACAUGGAAGUAAAGUUGAAAUGAAAUUAUGACUUAUGGAAAAACAAAACAAAAGUAAAAAAGAGAAACAGAAUCUUCCAACCGAAUAAAUGGAAAAAUGGGACAAAAUUUCAAAUAAACCUAAAAAAAAAUGGGGAAUACAUAAAACAAAUGCAGUAUUGAUGAGAAAUGAGAGGAUGUAAUGUAAGGGGUAGAAAAGGCAAAAUAAGUGUAAAAUGAGUUAGACCAUAUAUUUCUAAACUUUUGCUACAAAUAAUAGGUAAUAUAUAUAUGCAUCAUUAUUCAAAUUAAAUCUCAAUUACCUAAUGCUAUGAUACAACAAAUCAACCAUACAUCAACAAGCCUCCUUGAAGAUAUAUAUAUAUAUAUAUAUAUAUAUAUAUAUAUAUAUAUAUAUAUAUAUAUAUAUAUAUAUAUAUAUAUAUAUAUAUAUAUAUAUAUUGUGAAUUAUUAAAUAUAAACAAUACCUUUAAAUUAAUAAUCCAAUCAUUUUUCAGUUAAAAAUGUUGUGGACGAUAGGACGAGCUUUGCACAUAGCUUCCAAUGGCACCACCUUGGGCAUAGUGACGCCUCUUCCUUCCGUCAUGUCCACUUUCUCUUCCCCAAUCCUCUCCCACUCGUAGCAUUGAAUCAGAGUCGCUAGAGUCAGUCCCACCACUCGUUGAGCCAUGCUGGAGCCGGGGCAAGCUCGUCGUCCGACUCCAAAUGGAAUCAUCUUUGGGAUUUGAUGAUGGUCACUUGAUUCUAAGUUUUGGUGUCUUUCUGGCUUGAAUAAUGUGGGCUCUUCCCAUUGACUAGGGUCUCUGUGGAUAGCCCAUGCAUUAACCAAUACAAUCGUAUCACGUGGUAUUUCGUACUCACUGAUUGUACAAUUGUUGGAUGUUAGAUGUGGCACUAGCAUUGGAGCAGCUGGGUUCAAUCGAAGAGUCUCAUAAAUGAUUCCUUGAAGAUAUGGUAACUUAGAGACGUCUAAUUCUUCUGCUAGUUGUUUUUCUCCAAUUUGAUUGUCCAACUCUUCUCUAGCCUUUUUUAGUACCUCUGGAUUGUUGAGCAAGUGAGCUAAAGCCCAUUCAAUUGUCACAGCUGAUGUGUCUGUUCCAGCUAGUAGUAACACCUGUACGCUUAUUUUUGUUUAGAGUUUGAUAUAAUACACACAAAACAGAUAUCACAAAACAAAAACAAAUCCUACCAAGUCAAUAAUUAGGACUAAAUAUGGAAAAAUUAGUAAAAAAAAAUCUAAACAAUGUUAUUUCAAAGCAAACACUCUUUCAUGUUACUCCUAACCCUAAAGCUUGUAAGCCAUAAUUAAAUAUGAAAAUUAAUUAAUGGUAAUUUUCUCUCUACAAUAUGGCCAAGUGCUUCCCCAACGUCAAAGGUGCGUGACUUUUUCUUUUUUCACUCAAAGCAAACAGUUUGUGCAUGAAAAUAUUAGAGCAUUUUUCUAUCUUUGCCCCAAAAUGCUUUUAAAAAUAGUUUGAGGGGAAAUGCUAAAUGUAGAGGAGAGACGAUAGGGGUCCCCCAGGCCGCAAGGCCACCACUUUGAAUCUUCGUUGCCAUUCUGUCCUAUUAUAUGUUCUUAUAUAUAUUUCGGGGAUUACCCAAAAGAGAUGGAUAAAGAGCAAAAUUCUUGAGAAUAAUGGCAAUGAAGAUUGAAAAUGAGUGAGAAAUUAUGGAGAUUAAUUACCAGAACAAUUCCUUUGAUUAUUUCAUCUCCAUAGUACUCAGGCUCCGUUUCCUGCAGAGAUAGCAAAUGAUCGAUCAUUGUGUUCCUUUCCUCUUCCUUAUUGCUCCGAUGUUCAUCAAUCAAUCCCUGCAAAAACCUGUCCAUCCUUUUCCCAAGUCUCGAAACCUUCCUCUUAUAUCCAUUCGGGACCCAAUUCAUCAUCGGAAUGAAAUCUCCCGGAUUCGAUACUCCUCCCAUCGACACAAUCUGUUUAAUCAGCUCUCUCGACUGUCUCGCUUCCUCCACAUCCCUCACUUCAUCACCGAAAUACCUCUUUCCGGCCGCCAUUCUCAUCGAUAUGUUAAACGUGAGUUCCGAAAUCGACGAUUGCAUCUCUACUUUCGAGUAUCCAUGCAUCGAAUUCCUCGAUAGCUUCUUCAGUAACCGUUCCACUUCAUCCUUCCGGGUUCCUGCGAAUUUAUUGAGGCGAGACGCUGAAAAGAUCUCGAUGGCUCCGAUUCGGCGGAGGUUCCGCCAGUGGUCUCCGUAAGGUGACCCUACCAUCGUAGUGUGGUUGUAGCCGAUGUGUUUUCCGAAUAGCAACCGAGGACGGUUGGCUAAAACGAUGUCGUUCUUAGUGAAGCACUCCUCCACUGCUGGCAAUGACGAGACGACCACAACGAGGCGAGAUCCAAACCGGAGAGAGAUUAAUGGUCCGUAUUUUGCAGAGAGUUUGUGUAAAGUUCGGUGGAGGGGGAUUUUGAUAUAAUGGAGGUGGCCGAUGAUGGGGAGAGACGGAGGACUGGGGGGUAAGUUUGUAGGGCGGGUGCGGAGGUUGAAGGCGAAGAGGAGAGAGAUAAUAGAGAGAAAUAGGUAAAGGAGAGAGCAACAUUCCAUGGCGUUUUUGUUAAAGAAGAAGUAUGUUUAAAUUUGGAGUUGGGGAGUGAAGAUGAAGAUAUGGGUACAUGGGUGAGGUAUUUAUGGUAUUGAAGCCACGACAACGACAUUGUGUAAUCACAUUCAGCUAUUUUAAACUAAAUAUAAUUCCAUCAAAUAUCUUUCUUCUUCAUUUCCUUUCCCAACAUUUUCAAAUCUGUUUACUCCUCAGACCUUAGUUAUAGAAAAACCAAUAUCAUAGGUUUAAUCAAUUAUUUAUUUGGCCAACUUUUCGUAAUGUUUCUAAUGCUUUUGUUUUUGUGCACCCAUGGAAUGAAGAGUAUAAACGUCCAUUUCUUUCUUUUAUCGCUUUUUUAGUAUUAGUCAUGUCAUAUGCAAAUAUGUUUUUGUAACAUCUUUUGUGUGGAUGGAUUUGGUUUCAUUUCUUUCUUCUUCUUUUCAUUCUUUUCUUCCUGUUUUUGUUUAGUUUGUGCUUUGACAUACGUUCAAAUUUAAUACAUUUGCAAACAUAAUAUAAUAAAUAAUAAUAAUAAAAUAAUUAAAAAAAGCUUAGAGUUAGAUAUGUUUAGUUGUAAUGCUAGUUUAGCUAAAGUUUAUUUAUUCAUUUAUAAAUCUUCUCGACAUAUGUUCGUUCAAGGUUUGAUAUAUCUUUUAAAAAUAUUGAUAACUGACACUCCUCUUCUCUUUUUCAUGUCUUUUAUCCUACCUCAUAAUAGUAACUAAGGAACGGACAAAUAGACCAUAAUAUAUAUGCAUUACUAUUCAAAUUAAAUCUUAGUUACUUAAUAUUCUACCAUACAACAAAACAACCCUACAUUAACACACCUCCUUUUAAGAUAAAGAUGUCACUUUCUUUUUUUUUUUUUUUUUGUAAAUUAUUAAAUAUAAACAAUACCCUUAAACAAUCCAAUCAUUUUUCAGAAUUUUUAGUUAAAAAUGUUGUGGAUGAUAGGGCGAGGUUUGCACAUGGCUUCCAGUGGCACCAUCUUGGGCAUAGUGACGCCUCUUCCUUCCGACAUGUCCACUUUCUCGUCACCAAUCCUUUCCCACUCGUAGCAUUGAAUUAGCGCCGCCAGAGUCAACCCCACCACUCGUUGAGCCAUGCCCGAGCCGGGGCAAGCUCGUCGUCCGACUCCAAAUGGGAUCAACUUUGAAAUAUGAUGAUCAAUUGAUUCUGACUUUUGGUGUCUUUCUGGUUUGAAUAGUGUGGGUUCUUCCCAUUGAUUAGGGUCUCUAUGGAUAGCCCAUGCAUUAACCAAUACAAUCGUGUCACGUGGUAUUUUGUAUCCACUAAUUGUACAAUCAUUGGAGGUUAGAUGUGGCACUAGCAUUGGAGCAGCUGGGUUCAAUCGAAGAGUCUCGGAGAUGAUUCCUUGAAGAUAUGGUAACUUGGAGACGUCUGAUUCUUCCACUAGUCGUUUUUCUCCAAUUUGAGUGUCUAGCUCUUCUCUAGCCUUUUUUAGUACCUCCGGAUUGUUGAGCAAGUGAGCUAAAGCCCAUUCAAUUGUCACCGCUGAUGUGUCUGUUCCGGCUAGUAGUAACACCUGCACAUUUAUUUUUAUUUUGAGUUUGACAUAAUACAUACAAAAGACAUAUCAACAAAAACAAAAAUAAGUCAUAAAAAGUUAAUUAGGACUAAAUAUGAAAAAAUUAGUCACUAGAAUCUAGAUAUACCUUAUUGCAUAUACCUUCUAACAAGAACAAUAUCUAAAUAGAAGAAAAAAUAAAUAUAUAAUCAUAAGUUGAUAGUUGCUAAAAGAUAAAUUUUCCCUUUUCACUUUAAAAAUAUCUUUUAUAUUAUUCUUUUUUCACUUUGUAAUAAUUGGGUUAGAUCGUCAACACGAAUUUAGCUCAACCGACAUCUGUAUGUACCUGUGGACAAGAGAUUUCAUGUUCAAAUCUCCACCUCUGCAUUUACUACAAUACAUUUUAAAAAUAAAUUGAGGUGGAUCUAUAGAGAUGUGGGGCUACACUCUAGUGUUCCUCUUAUUUAGAUGCAUGUUGAUCAUAACUUCAGAUACCCGACCUAAGAUGGAAAAUGCUCACUUCAACCAAAAAGAAAAGAAACCUUAUAAAACAUAAUUUAAAAAGAGAGAGGAGCUUUUUGCGAUGUGUUUAGAGAAUUGGUUUGGGCAAGGGGUUGAUGCACCAAAGUGCUUUUUCUAUUCUUGAUCACUAAAUAUAAAUUAAUGGUAAUUCUAUCUCUGCAUUAAGGCCAAGUGCGUGCCUAUUAUUAUUAAUUUUAGGUGAAGACUGACUUUUUUUUCUUUCAAAGCAAACACUUGUGCAUGCUACUUUAAGUAUGAUUGAAUAAUUAGAUGUAAAAGUAUUAAGAAAUUUUUAACCACCAGUAUGAUUGAAUAAUUAGAUGUAAAUAGACAAAAGAUUAGUGUAUAUAUCUAAUUAUUUUAUUUUUCAAUAAAUUAAUUUCACCCGAUCGUAGGAGGAGAAAAUACUUCUUAAGUAAAUACUUUUAUGAAUAAGUUAUUUAAAUAAUUUAAUUAUUUUUUUAUAACGAAACAUGAAUGGAAAAUAAAAUUAAAACCAUGUAUAAAAUAAAGCAAAAAGUUUUAAAUAGACUAUAGAGACUUUUUUUUUUACUAAGUUUUUGUUUGAUUAUUUUUUAUUUUUAAUCGUAUAAUAUGCUUUUCUAUAUAUAAAUUAGUAAAUUCAAGUCAAUCGGACAAAAAAUUAAUUUGAAUUAAUUAGGUAGAAAUAUAAUAUAAGAGACUAAGUGUUUGCUCCGAAUAAAAAUUUACUUUUAUUAUAAUUGGAUAAAUGUUGUAAAUUAUAAUAAAAUUUCGAUAACUAAUUUUUAUAACAUUUUUCAACUUUCUCCUGUUUAUAAUUUUUUUUUAUUAAUAACCUUUUUUUUUUUUACUAACUUAUGAUGAUAAUUGUGGUCAACCUCCAGUACUUAUAAUUGUUUUACACUAAUUGCCGUGCCUACCUUCAAUCACAAUUUAUUAUUGAAAAGAUUCAAAUACUGAUAAAUAUUUUUUUAAUAAAAGAAAAAAUAACUCAAAAUAUUUUUUUAAUAAAAGAACCAUUAGUUUUUAAUUUAUUUUUUAUAACUUGAUAGAAAUUUAGUUAAAAAGAUGCAAAUAAAAAGAAAACAUUGAAGAGAGAGAGAAGAGGGAGGAAAUAAAAGAAAAGAAGAAAGAAAGGGAAAGAGAGCCUAAACGGCAGUUAUAAGAAAACGAGAACAAAAAGAAGAAAAUAGAGAAAUCUAGUGGUUAAAAAUAUAAUUUUAGAAAAAGUGAAAUGAAGAGACACGCGUCAAUAAAGCCAAAACAAGAACCACUAAAUUAUUUUCAAAACAGUCCCUGUACCUAAUUAUUUUUCAAAACAACCCUUGUGCCUAAUUAUUUUUCAAAACAAUCCUCCUACCUAAUUACUUUUCAAAACUGCUUUAUUUUCUUCAAAUAACCCCAGAUUUGAUGACCCACUUGAUUGGACCCAAAAAUGAAAGAAGACAGUGGUUAGAGGUCCCUCAAGCUGCAGACCACCACUUUGAAUCUUUGUUGCGAUUCUCAUAUAUUAUAUAUUUUUGUAUCCAUUUCGGGGUUUAUCCUAAAGAGAAGGAAAAAAACGCCAAAUUCUUGAGCAGGAUAAUUAUAACCGAAUGGUAAUGGAGAUUGAAAAUGUUUGUUAAACGAAGAUUGAAAGUGAGUCAGAAAUUAUGGAAAUUUAUUACCAGAAUGAUUCCUUUGAUUAUUUGAUCUCCAUAGUACUCAGGCUCCGUUUCCUGCAGAGAUAGCAAAUGAUCGAUCAUUGUGUUCCUUUCUUCUUCCUUAUUGCUCCGAUGUUCAUCAAUCAAUCCCUGCAAAAACCCGUCCAUCCUCUUCGCAAGUCUCGAAACCUUCCUCUUAUAUCCAUUCGGGAUCCAAUUCAUCAUCGGAAUGAAAUCUCCCGGAUUCGAUACUCCUCCCAUCGACACGAUCUGUUUAAUCAGCUCUCUCGACUGUCUCGCUUCCUCCACAUCCCUCACUUCCUCACCGAAAUACCUCUUUCCGGCCGCCAUCCUCAUCGAUAUGUUAAACGUCAGUUCUGAAAUCGACGAUUGCAUCUCUACUUUCGAGAAUCCAUACAUCGAAUUCCUCGAUAGCUUCUUCAGUAACCUUUCCACUUCAUCCUUCCGGGUUCCUGCGAACUUAUUGAGGCGAGACGCUGAAAAAAUCUCGAUGGCUCCGAUUCGGCGGAGGUUCCGCCAGUGGUCUCCGUAAGGUGACGCUACCAUUGUAGUGUGGUUGUAGCCGACGUGUUUGCCGACUAGCAACCGAGGACGGUUGGCUAAAACGAUAUCGUUCUUAGUGAAGCACUCCUCCACUGCCGGCAACGACGAGACGACCACAACGAGGCGAGACCCAAACCAGAGAGAGAUUACUGGUCCAUAUUUUGCAGAGAGUUUGUGUAAAGUUCGGUGGAGGGGGAUUUUGAUAUAAUGGAGGUGGCCAAUGAUGGGGAGAGACGGGGGACUGGGGGGUAAGUUUCUACGUCGGCUGCGGAGGUUGAAAGCGAAGAGAAGAGAGAUAAGAGAGAGAAAUAGGUAAAGCAGAGAAGAAAUUUCCAUGGCGUUUUUGUUAGAAGAGUAUAUUUAAAUUUGGAGUAGAGAGUGAAGAUGAAGACUCUGCUUGGGUGAAGUAUUUAUAGUGAUCGAAGCCACGACGAUGACAUUGGCAGUGUGCUGUAAUGUUUAAGAAGCUCUUUGGAUUAAAGAUUAACCGGGGCUUAUUGGACAAUAAUAACCCCUAUUUGCUUCACCCAAUAUUAUUUAAAGUCUCUUAUUAGCUACAUUAUAUAUAUAUAUAUAUUUUUUUUAUGAAACUAAAAUAGUCUAAUAUCAAAUACAUCAAUUAUAACGAUUUAUUCUAAUCAAAUUAUAAUAAUUUAUUUUUUACUACAAACACUCUAUUUAAUAUAUAUUAAAUAAUUCCAUCGAAUAUCUUUCUUUCAUUUCGUUUUUCAACAUUUUCAAAUAUUCUACUGUGUUCACUUAAUAAUUGGCUUGAAUUAAUUAAUUAUUUGGCCAAACUUUCCUAAUGUUUUUAAUGCAUGAUAUGGUUGCUAUUUUAGUACUAGUUCUAAUCCUUCCAAACUUGAGUUGUAGGUAUAUUUUGGUAUGAUCCGUUUGGUUUGGUUUAGUUUGUUUGUUCUUUUUUACUAUUUUGAUUGUGUUUUUGUAUUGUUUGUGCUUUGACUUUUGUUCAAAUUUAAUACCUUUGCAAAAAUAAUAAUAAUAAAUAAAUAAAUAAUAAAAGCUUGGAAUUGAUGAGUUUAGUUCAUGAAGAUCGUUUACCUAAAGUUUAUUUAUUCGUUUGCAAACUUUCUUUUGACAUACAAAUAUUUAUUUAAGGUUUGAUAUACCUUUAAAAAAUAUCAAGAACGAAUAACAUGUUAUGUUAGAUUAGGUUUUUUUCUUUUUCCUUUUCCUCUAUUUGACCCUAACUCAUAAUUGUAAUUAAGGAAUGGAUGAACAUUUUUGUCUACUAAAAAUCUAGAUUUGUGUGUUCCACAACUGAAAUAUAUAAUGCUCUAACUAGAACAUUAGGUGACAUUAUCUUUCCUUCAAAUUAGAAAGUUAGGAAAUUAAUUUAAAAGGACCAAAUAGUUGAGAUAAUGGUACAAUUUUUCUAUAGCUUAAUUUAAUGGCCCUUUAGACAUGCUUGUGAUAUUGCUAUAAUUAUUUGUUUACAAAUUACAUUAAAUAUAUGACUCAGCUCUUCAAUCCAAAAAUCAUGCAUCCAACAUUUUUGCAAAUUCAGUUCGUUGAAUUUAUUUAAAGCUACAAAUCAAAGAUAACUAAUCCAAAAUCCAAAAUUUCUAUGUAUGUAAAUCCAUUUUGAGUAGAGACAAAAUGAAAAACAAGAGAAUAAUUUAUAGUCCCAUUUUUAUCUAAAAUUAUGUAGAAACUCGCACACUGCCCCCACCUCCCACAUCCCCAUCCUUUUCCAUGUUGAAGAUGCUCAAUCCAUUUUUGAUCUCUCUUGUUUCCUAAUUUUAUCUAUUAAUCUUCCUAUCAAACCACAUGUAUAUCUACCUAAACAACCAAAAACUAUAGUUUAUAGUUCAAUAAUUGUCAUAUAUCCCUACUAAUUGUAAAAAAAAAAAAAACUAUAAUUAUUUUGUGGUUGAAAGUUAGAACUAUUAUGUGUCACAAAUAUAUUCGACUAAAAAUGUGAUUGUUUUUAAAUAUUUUAAAAAUAUAUACAUAAUAAUAAUUAUGAUAUGGUGGUACACAUAUAUUUUUAUUAUCGAUACAAAAACGAACUUAACACAAUUAACAUGGUUUCAUUUUAUACAUUUAAUACAACACAUUUUAUAAUAUAUAUAUGUUUGGGUUUGAUUACAAAGUUUACCUGAGUGGUUUUUGUAGGUAUUUUUAUUAAAUUGGUUUUCAUAUUAGAAAAAAUGUCUUUCCUGAAGAGUCGUCAACUUUGGCUUAUAAUUUCAAAGUUCCCAAUUUCUUGUGUACUGUUUUUUUUAUUGAAUAACAUAUUUGACAUGAAAUUAAAAAAAUUUAAUCAAUGUUUCUAAGACAUUAUAUGUCAAACUUUAGUUUUGCUCAAAUAAUUUUUUAAAAAAUGUAUAUAUUAUCAACUAAAAGAAUUAGAGAAUUGAAUAUUUUCAAUAUUGGUGUUAAAUUGUUAUCAAAAGAUCGGAUUAAACAACUCAAUAAAAUGUAUACUAAUAAGCGCAACUAAAUGCUUGUUUUGAAAAUUCACAUAAUAAAGUUAUAGGUAUCUUACAACAAGAUUGGAUUCAUAAUAAUAAAGCAUAUAAUUUUGUACAAUUCCCUAUUUUAGGUAAAGGUAUCUAUCACGUGUUAAGUUAUAUAAAUAAUCCAAACUACAUGACAGGUGGGUCUCCUUUGUAUUUAAUAAUCUUAAUUUAGUUCAUUCACAUGCUAAUAAUAGACUGAUUAAUAAUACUUUACCAAUAUCCAUAUCCAAAGGCCAGAAAGAUUGUUUUAAAUAAUUUAAAAUAUUACAAAACAUAGGUCACGUCAUCUUAAUUGAUACAGUAUUUUUUUGUAAAUACAAAUGAGUGUUUAGUUGAUUUUUUUUUAAAAAAAAUAGAACAUAGGAAAGAAGAAAAGACAAAGAAAAGUUGAGGUGAAAUUGAUGCAAUGACUUUGGGUUGAAUUAUGGGAAACAAUGGAUGAGGUGAGGAUAAAGAAAACUUGAAGGUGGGGGUUUGUCAUGAGCGUCAUGGAAUACGUAACGGGAACUUUGAUAUUUAGAUGACGCAAGCAAAUAGGUCACUUCAGGGUACUCUUCACUUUCACGGCCGGAUAUCGACAACAAACUCUAUCGUCGGCUGCUGCUACCCAUCACCUUUGCCAUUCCAUCUUCCAUUCUUUUCCUUUUAGAUCAAAUAUCAAUCAUCAAAACAUUGGACUUACCCUCAUUUAUUUCAUUCAUUAAUAAUUAUAUCAAUUUAAUUAACUUCAAGUUAAUAUUUGAUGAAUUUUUAGCUCUCUAAUUUUUAUAAGACAACUAAUUUAAAUAAUUUUAAACUUAGAAUAAAUUUAAGUAUUUUGUUAUAUGUUAGUGGGACACAUUUAUAAAAGGGAUUCUUUUAAAAAUAAAAAAUUUGACAAUUAUUUAUGUCGGGUUGAACAAAACUACUACAAGACAAAAUUCAAAAUACUUAUUUUUAUAUUAAGAGUUAAAUUCUAUUUUCAAUCAUUUUUUUUAUUGUAUGGAAGUUGAAAGUUUAGACGGAUAUAUUUAUGAAAAAUCCAUGAUUUAAAUUAACAUUUUUUAAAAUCUAGAAUUUGAAUUGGUAUAUUUAUACUAAUUGACAGUAAUUUUUUAUUCUACAUACUUCUAACUUUAUGGAUGUCCUCGAAGGGACAUUUGGAUUUAAUUUCUUUUCGUGAUUUUUCAACUUUAAAGUAAUGGAUGCAUAUAUUUAAAAAAAAAGUAGGAUAUAUUUAGUGAGAAAUAACAUAAAUUUGAAAAAAAAAAUUUAAGAAAAAUAAGUUAUAUUUUAUGUUUUUAUAUAUGUAUUUUGAUGGCAGAUUUGAACUAUGAUUUGAUGUCAAAUAUCAAAUUAAAGAAAACAUAGUUAUAUUUGAUUUUUGAAUCUAAUAUAAAAUUUAGAGGAAAAGUUUAAUUUAAACUAUUGUUUAAUAUGUAUAAUUGGUAUUUAUAAAUCAUAAAAGUAAUUGUUAUUUACUAAAUAUUAGAUGAUAAUAAAUUAUUCAUUAAUUUUUGUUAGAUUGUAUUUUGUGUUAAAAAAGUGUAUAACUAUUUUAAUUAAUAUUAUAAUAUAUUGGAGUGUAAACUUUUUUCUACUUUUGAAAAAAACCUCAAUUUAUUACGUAUUCUUAAAUAUAAUAGUUUGUCAAUAGUUAUAAAUAUACUUAUAAUUGUUUAAUAUACUUAUGCAUUUAAAAACUUUAAAUUCAAAAUCAAAACACAAUGAAAAUGAAAAAGUAAAAAAUAUAUUGAUUUGGGAAAAGCAGAAUUUGAAUUGUUGUGUUGUCAAACACAUAUGGUUGAAGCCAAUAAAACUAAAACACAUCAACCAAACGUACAAUUAGACAAUUAUUAAACCAGAUAUUAAAGCUCAAUAUUUAUACGUGUAUAAUUUAAAUGUUAUAACUUAUCUAAAUAUAUUAAUUUAAACUUUUAAAUUUAUACUUUGGUUGAAUACAUUUAACUGUGAGUUUAAAUUGAUAUAAUAAUUAGAUUAGUAUUUAAAUUGAUACAAUUUUGUAUAAAUUGGUAUUUGUCAUACAUUUGAUAUUAUAAAUGUUUGAAUUGGUUAGACCUAAAAACUUCUCAUUUGGACAACAAAAGGAGAAAACCAAGUCCAUACUGACUUAUACUUUAUACAAUAAAUGUGAUGUGUUAGGUAUUGUUAUAAUCCAAAUAUUUAAAUGAGUGGAAGAAAAAGUUUACACAAGUUUAGAAGGUUAUUUAUGACCCGUUUCGGAUAAUAAUUGUCUAAGAUUAUAAUAACCACGUCAUUCUACACUAAAUAUUAAUUUUUAAAUAUCUAAUUAGGCACGGUAAACAUAAUUUCAACACUUUUUAUAUGUUACAAUAAUUAUUAUUUCCUACAAGUUUUACUAUUUUACAUUUGUAAUUUGUUUUUAUUAUUUCUAAAGUGUUCACGGUUUUAUUUUCAAACUAAAACAGUUUACAUUUCAAACACGUAUUACUAUAAUAAAAAAUAUAUAAUAAAUUAUAAAAUAAAUUACAGUUCAAACACAUGUUAUUAUAACCGAAACUAAAAUAAUUUAUAGUUCUAAGUGUAAAUGUUUACAAUCCAACUAUAAUAACCUCCCAAUGUUUCCUCCGUAUUUAUCCCUUAGAUGGUUUCAAACAAAGAUAAAUUGUUAUUUUACAAAAUUAGUGGGGCUUUUUAAAAAAAAUAAUUGAAAAAACAUAUUAUUUACAUCCACUAAGAGAAAAAGAUCCAUUUAACUUGAUUUUCUUUUUGAGAAAGUGUAAAUAUAUUUUGUUAAUCUUCCUAUUUUUUACCAUUUUUCACAUGAAUAAAUUUGUUAAAUAUUGUUUAAUUAAAAUAUUGUAUUAUAUAUAACUCUAUAUGACUUUAGUUUCGAAAGGAGACUAGAUGUAUUGAAUUAAUUUGCUGUUUAUGGAGGAAGGUUUUUGAACAAAUUUAAUCCAUUAGAAAACAAAUGUAUAAAUGAAUUGGAUUGGAAUAUAUCCUCAACUCAAUACAUAUUUUCGGGUUGGUUAGUCUUGCAAGUUUUUAACUCAACCAAUCAAAUAUGAGUUAAACUAGGCUGACUUUAAGUUGUAUUAUAUAUAUUUUUAGCAAAAAAAAAAAAAAACUCUCAUAAUAAUGUUUAACUUUUAUUAAAUAAAUAUAUAUAUAAAUGAAAAUGAGAAGAGUUUUAAAUAACAAAGAAAUUAAAGAACUAACAUAAAAGAAAAACACAAAAUAGAUGAUAAAGAUUAUAUCCAAGUAUGUCUUUCAAUAUUCAUGGUCCAUAGAAGUCGAGAAUUUUCAUCUUCUAAAAGUGUUGAAGGGAAUGAAAGCGAUUCAAACCAAACGGUCCCAACUUAAUGUUUUGCUUGAGCUCCAAUUUGAUACUCUCAACACUAUCAAACUCUUAAAUAUCUUCUAGCGGUGGGUUGACCGAAAAAUAUUUUAGAGUAGCAAAAUCUAACUUCUAUCAUUAAGUGAUAAAUGACGAAAUAAGUCUAUCACUAAAUGAUAUAUUUGUAAGCUCCAUGAACCAGCCUUAAACUGUAGAGAUGGUUACAAUCACACUUGGAUACUUUUAACUCGAUCAAUUAUUCCUUUAUCUUAAUUAAUAUUUAUAAUUGAUGGCAAUUGCAAUCAUAAUAAUCAAAUAUAUAACAACAUUUCAACAAAUUUAUAAAAGUCUACAACGGAUUUUGCUUUAUUUAUAACUUUCUUAAAAUGUUGUUAUAUAGUUAUUACUUUUAAUUUAAUUACUAUAUUUGUAAUUAUCAAAAUUUUAAAUUGUUUGAUAUGAUUUGAUUUCAGAAAGGGAAACUUGUCCUUAUUACAGGAGAAAAAAAACAAAAAAAGGUUUGAAUUUUGUUUACGUUGUGGUUGGGUUUUACCAUAUUAUCCCUUAGGUGUGGUUUCCAAAUCAUUUUCUGCUUCUUUCAAUAUUCGUCUUUGAGCUUUUUUGCUCCUUCUAACGGUAUCUCUUCUUUUACAAUACGUCCUUCUUUCUCUUUUUAAACCAUCAGUUUUUCAAAUCUUACUUCUGAAGCUUUUUCCCAUUCGUCUGUUAAACCCACCGGUUAGCGUUCUACAUCCUUCUAUAAUUCCUUAUUUUUUUUUUGUUAAAUUCAUCAAACAAAUACAAUUUUUUAACAAUUCCUUUCUUUUUUUUUAGCUUCCAGUUUUCUGUUUGGUUUCAAAUAUGUGUAAAAAAUAGAUAACACAUCAUUAUUCAACCAACACUUUGAUUUUUGCUUUUUUUCGUUUGUUACCGUUUUUACGGUUGGACAUAUUCAUCAUUUUUUUUGUAUUAUUUUCUACACACCAAACACAUACUAUUAUAACUCAAACUCAAACUAUUCUAAUCAAAUAACUUACUUAUCGUCCCAAACACCCAAAUUAUCGGUUGAUUUAUUUACGGCCAAAUAAACACAUUUUAGCUUUCCGAGAAUCUCACUGUUCCAUAACUUUUUUUUUUUUUCAUCUGCCCUCCCCUGGAUUCAUUUGAGAAAAAACUUGACUAGCAGUUAAAGGAAUGUCUAGAUCUUGACUCAUAUGUUCCUUUUCUUCUCUUAAAAUGGAAGAACCAAUGGAAGGAAUUCUUUGAAUGAACAUUGAAGAGCUCUCGUUGGCAUUGGUUUCACUAUCUUCAUGCGGCAUUCUAUGAUGAACAUUUUGUUCAAGUUGCAAUGCAUACUCCAAAUCCCACACCACAUCCCCCAUUGCUGGUCUAUUUUCACCAUCGUCUUGUAAGCAUUUUUCUAUUGUUUCACUGAACUUUCUCAAGGAAUUAGGAUCGAUCUGACCCUUUAAUUUUGGGUCGAUGAUCUCUUCAAGCAACUCCAUUUUCUUGCACUUCAAUCCCCAUUCUGCUAGAUUUAUUUGCUCAUUUGGAAGUGUUGGAUUCAAAGCUAGUCUCGCACACAAAACCUCAAGAAGAACUACCCCAAAUGAGUACACAUCAGAUUUCUGUGUCAAUUGUCGUGUUCGAAAAUACUCAGGAUCGAGAUACCCGAUUGUCCCUUUAAUAUCUGUGCUUACAUGAGUUUCAUCCAAGGAACUUGCUGUUGAAAGGCCAAAAUCAGAUACUUUAGCAACAAGGUUCUCAUCAAGCAAAAUGUUAGUUGAUUUCACAUCACGGUGAAUGAUUCCACUGGAUAAGCCUUUGUGUAGGUAAUGCAAGCCUUUAGCUGCACCAAUGCAAAUUUCUAGCCUUUUCUUCCAAGACAAGGGAGGAAAGUUUGAGUUGUAAAGAUGCUCCCUUAGUGUUCCCUUCUCCAAGAAUUCAUAAACCAAAAUCAUCUCAAGCCCUUCAUUGCAGUACCCAAUAAACGAAACGAGAUGCCGAUGUCGAAUUCGUGACAGUAUCGUGAUUUCUCUCUCGAAUUCGGAGAUACCUUGUCCAGCCCCUGGCUGGCUUCUCUUGACAGCUACUCUCAUGCCAUUUCUCAUAACUCCCUUAUAGACUUUCCCAAAACCACCCUCACCAACAAGGAAUUUCUUGUUGAAAUUAUUGGUAGCCGUUUUGAUUUCGGCGAGAGAAAACUUCAACCCAAGAUUCAAGUUGGGGAUGGGGGAGUUGCUUGAGGUUCUCUCAGUAAACUUGCUGUGAGUACUUCCACCUCCAAAUACAGGUAAUGGAUACCAUUUUGUGUGCGUUAUUUGUGAAGCUUUCUCUGAUUUUGGCUUCCUCCAUUUCAGACCAAAAUAGAUCCCAAAGCCUAAAAUACAGAUCAAACCAAAAAUCCCAAAGGCCAAACCCACAAAAACACCCACACGUUUGUUUUUCGUUUCCUUGACGACAGGAUCUUUGGUAUGUUCAUCCAUGGCUUCCAUAAUCUCAACCCCAUUCAAAAAAGCAUUGGACUGUAAUGUAUCUGGAUGAGGACUAACACUGACACUAAUGAACCCAUCUUCACCACAAUUCACCAAGAAAUCUAAAUGAAAUGGAUGAUUAACCAAAUCAGAAGAGCCAGUUUUUUUACUAAACCUAUUGCCAAUAGAAAGAUUGAAGUAAAGAAAACCGUGGGAUGUUUUACCAAUUAGAUCAUAGAAAUGAAGUCGGAGAAGAUGGCGAGUAUGUUUUCUUGAAGGAAAAUGCCAUGUUAUAUUGAUCGAGUUAAGAGAGGAAUUUAUCAAUUCUUUGGCAGUUUGGUAUACGAGUUCAGGCGCAAAAUAAUGGUCGUCUUCAUUCAAGAAUUUCAGUUUUGUUCGAUGAGGAAUGCUGUUUUUUGCAGAGCUCGGAUUCAAUAGAUAAGUGUUGUCCUGUUCUUGUUCCCAUUUACCCCACAGUCCGUCUGUGUCCGGGAGAAUUUCAGGACCUCCCACAUUGAUUCUGUAAAUUGUAUGUAAAACUAGAGAUGGGAAAAUCUUGGACUCACCUUUUUCUCCGGCGAGGGUAAUCACUUUAGCUUUGUCUGGAAUGAAGUUCGGUGGGAUGGGGAACACUUCAAUGGCAUUUACAUAAGCAAUCGAUGAAGAAUUUGGUGAAAAAUAGAUCCGAAAAUUUUCCCCUGAGUUUAAGCACAAGAAGAAUUCCUCAAUUGAGGUAGAAUUGUUACGGAUAUUAGUGGAGUUAAAGUUUCGAAGUAGGAGGAACCCAGAAGCAGAAACGUUGAAAACAGAUGUGGAUAAAUCAGUAGAGAAAUUGAAAGGGGAGAAAUGAAGACGUACAAUAUGAACAGUAUCUUGGUCGACUUCGAAUUCGUAAAAUGAUGGGUCCUUGAAAAUCCUUAUGGAAUCGUACAGAGAUGGAGACUCAGUGGAAUGAUCGACGACUUGACCGGAAUUAUGUGGGAUGAAUCUGAAACUGAUAGUAUUGGUGGUAUUCAAGUCGCCGAUGAAGCUCCGGCCAGCAUUAAAAACAGUGGUCUGUGAUCCACAGUUCACAAAAUACUUAUCUGGGGAAGUGUAUGAUUGAACAUGAAGAGAGAAGAAG
Molecule: long non-coding RNA, 17958 nt
Filed under: Cucumis sativus (cucumber)
Lineage: Eukaryota; Viridiplantae; Streptophyta; Magnoliopsida; Cucurbitales; Cucurbitaceae
Description: long non-coding RNA (CSAT_LNC002482)
Source: RNAcentral